Molecule: ribosomal RNA, 206 nt
Filed under: Trypanosoma caninum
Lineage: Eukaryota; Euglenozoa; Kinetoplastea; Trypanosomatida; Trypanosomatidae
Description: partial large subunit ribosomal RNA
Source: RNAcentral
ACGUUGGAUACUGGAGCGGGGAAGGAUUUCGUGCCAACGGCACUCGUACACGAGUUGUUCGGAUACUGAGCACAACGUUACACCGUUUUGUUAGGAAAGUGAAGGUGCGUCGGCGGCGUGCGUUUUUUUUUUGCUUUUUUUUUUUUUUUUAAAAAAAAAAAAAAAAAAGGCGCCCCCCCCUGGGCCUUUUUGAAAAGGGGGAAAAA